GAUGAACGCUGGCGGCGUGCUUAACACAUGCAAGUCGAACGGAAAGGCCAGUGCUUGCACUGGUACUCGAGUGGCGAACGGGUGAGUAACACGUGGGUGAUCUGCCCUGUACUUCGGGAUAAGCUUGGGAAACUGGGUCUAAUACCGGCUAGGACAACUUUUUGUAUAUUGUUGUGGAAAGCUUUUGCGUUAUGGGAUGAGCUCGCGGCCUAUCAGCUUGUUGGUGGGGUAUUGGCCUACCAAGGCGUCGACGGGUAGCCGGCCUGGGAGGGUGUACGGCCACAUUGGGCCUGGGAUACGGGCCAGACCCCUACGGGAGGCAGCAGGGGGGAAUAUUGCACAAUGGGCGCAAGCCUGAUGCAGCGACGCCGCGUGGGGGAUGAAGGCCUUCGGGUUGUAAACUCCUUUCGCUAGGGACGAAGCUUUUUUGUGACGGUACCUGGAGAAGAAGCACCGGCUAACUACGUG
RNAcentral lists this ribosomal RNA (468 nucleotides) under uncultured bacterium. RNAcentral's name for it is "partial 16S ribosomal RNA". It matches the Rfam family "Bacterial small subunit ribosomal RNA", at positions 28 to 507 of the family's 1533-position model. The record is from RNAcentral.